RNAcentral lists this ribosomal RNA (253 nucleotides) under uncultured bacterium. Its description in RNAcentral is "partial 16S ribosomal RNA". It matches the Rfam family "Bacterial small subunit ribosomal RNA", at positions 524 to 776 of the family's 1533-position model. The record is from RNAcentral.
UACGUAGGUGGCAAGCGUUGUCCGGAUUUACUGGGCGUAAAGAGCGCGCAGGCGGCUGGUCAAGUCCGAUGUGAAAUCUCCCGGCUUAACUGGGAAACUGCAUCGGAAACUGAUCGGCUUGAAGGUGGAAGAGGGAAGCGGAAUUUCCGGUGUAGCGGUGAAAUGCGUAGAUAUCGGAAGGAACACCAGUGGCGAAAGCGGCUUCCUGGUCCGACACCGACGUUCAGGCACGAAAGCGUGGGGAGCAAACAGG